GAUGAACGCUGGCGGCGUGCCUAAUACAUGCAAGUCGAGCGAACGGACGAGAAGCUUGCGUUUCUGAUGUUAGCGGCGGACGGGUGAAUCACACGUGGAUAACCUACCUAUAAGACUGAGAAAACUUCGGGAAACCGGAGCUAAUACCGGAUAAUAUUUUGAACCACAUGGUUCAAAAGUGAAAGACGGUCUUGCUGUCACUUAUAGAUGGAUACCCGCUGGAUUAGCUAGUUGGUGAGGUCACGGCUUACCAAGGCAACGAUACAUAACCGACGGGAGAGGGGGAUCGGCGACAUGGGAGCUUGGACACGGUCCAGGCGACUACGGGAGGGAGCAGAAGGCAAUGUGACGCAGCAGGCGAAAGUAUGGCGGAGCAACGCCGAGUGAGAGACAGAGGUCUUCGGUGCGUAAUACUCUGUUAUUAGGUAAAAACAGAUGUGUAAGUAAAUGUGGAGAUCUUGACGGUACCGAAUCAAAAAGCAACGGCUAACUACGUG
Molecule: ribosomal RNA, 497 nt
Filed under: uncultured bacterium
Lineage: Bacteria
Description: partial 16S ribosomal RNA
Rfam family: Bacterial small subunit ribosomal RNA
Source: RNAcentral